This 70-nucleotide transfer RNA is filed under the name Oryzias curvinotus. Its description in RNAcentral is "tRNA-Asp". It matches the Rfam family "tRNA". Rfam says of the family: Transfer RNA (tRNA) molecules are approximately 80 nucleotides in length. Their secondary structure includes four short double-helical elements and three loops (D, anti-codon, and T loops). The record is from RNAcentral. Lineage: Eukaryota; Metazoa; Chordata; Actinopteri; Beloniformes; Adrianichthyidae.
AAGAUUCUAGUUAAAGGAAUAACACUGCCUUGUCAAGGCAAAAUUGUGGGUUAAAGCCCCACGUAUCUUG